RNAcentral lists this ribosomal RNA (785 nucleotides) under Zobellia sp. TBL_90. Its description in RNAcentral is "bacterial SSU rRNA". It matches the Rfam family "Bacterial small subunit ribosomal RNA", at positions 119 to 903 of the family's 1533-position model. Lineage: Bacteria; Pseudomonadati; Bacteroidota; Flavobacteriia; Flavobacteriales; Flavobacteriaceae. The record is from RNAcentral.
AUACAAUCUACCCCCUACUGUGGGAUAGCCCAGAGAAAUUUGGAUUAAGACCACAUGGUACCAUUUUACGGCAUCGUAUUAAUGGUUAAAGGUUACGGUAGGGGAUGAGUAUGCGUCCCAUUAGUUAGUUGGCGAGGUAACGGCUCACCAAGACCGCGAUGGGUAGGGGCCCUGAGAGGGGGAUCCCCCACACUGGUACUGAGACACGGACCAGACUCCUACGGGAGGCAGCAGUGAGGAAUAUUGGACAAUGGGCGGGAGCCUGAUCCAGCCAUGCCGCGUGCAGGAAGAAUGCCCUAUGGGUAGUAAACUGCUUUUAUACGGGAAGAAAAAGAGCUACGUGUAGCUUACUGACGGUACCGUAAGAAUAAGGACCGGCUAACUCCGUGCCAGCAGCCGCGGUAAUACGGAGGGUCCGAGCGUUAUCCGGAAUUAUUGGGUUUAAAGGGUCCGUAGGCGGGCCGAUAAGUCAGUGGUGAAAGUUUGCAGCUCAACUGUAAAAUUGCCUUUGAUACUGUCGGUCUUGAGUUAUAGUGAAGUUGCCGGAAUAUGUAGUGUAGCGGUGAAAUGCAUAGAUAUUACAUAGAACACCGAUUGCGAAGGCAGGUGACUAACUAUAUACUGACGCUGAUGGACGAAAGCGUGGGGAGCGAACAGGAUUAGAUACCCUGGUAGUCCACGCCGUAAACGAUGGAUACUAGCUGUCCGGGUCCUUGAGACCUGGGCGGCCAAGCGAAAGUGAUAAGUAUCCCACCUGGGGAGUACGUUCGCAAGAAUGAAACUCA